Molecule: ribosomal RNA, 495 nt
Filed under: uncultured bacterium
Lineage: Bacteria
Description: bacterial SSU rRNA
Rfam family: Bacterial small subunit ribosomal RNA
Source: RNAcentral
AAAGGAAUAGACGGGGGCCCGCACAAGCGGUGGAGCAUGUGGUUUAAUUCGAAGCAACGCGAAGAACCUUACCAGGUCUUGACAUCCCGUUGACCACUAUGGAGACAUCGUCUUCCCUUCGGGGACAACGGUGACAGGUGGUGCAUGGUUGUCGUCAGCUCGUGUCGUGAGAUGUUGGGUUAAGUCCCGCAACGAGCGCAACCCUUGACCUUAGUUGCCAGCAUUCAGUUGGGCACUCUAAGGUGACUGCCGGUGACAAACCGGAGGAAGGUGGGGAUGACGUCAAAUCAUCAUGCCCCUUAUGACCUGGGCUACACACGUGCUACAAUGGAUGGUACAAAGGGUUGCGAAGCCGCAAGGUGAAGCCAAUCCCAUAAAGCCAUUCUCAGUUCGGAUUGCAGGCUGCAACUCGCCUGCAUGAAGCCGGAAUCGCUAGUAAUCGUAGAUCAGCAUGCUACGGUGAAUACGUUCCCGGGCCUUGUACACACCGCCCGU